Molecule: ribosomal RNA, 902 nt
Filed under: Leptographium gracile
Lineage: Eukaryota; Fungi; Ascomycota; Sordariomycetes; Ophiostomatales; Ophiostomataceae
Description: LSU rRNA
Rfam family: Eukaryotic large subunit ribosomal RNA
Source: RNAcentral
GCAUAUCAAUAAGCGGAGGAAAAGAACCCACCAGGGAUUGCCCCAGUAACGGCGAGUGAAGCGGCAACAGCUCAGAUUUGGAAUCUGGCCCCCAGGGCCCGAGUUGUAAUCUGGAGAGGAUGCUUCUGGCGCGGCGCCUUCCGAGUUCCCUGGAACGGGACGCCGGAGAGGGUGAGAGCCCCCGUACGGUUGGACGCCUAGCCUUUGUGAAGCUCCUUCGACGAGUCGAGUAGUUUGGGAAUGCUGCUCAAAAUGGGAGGUAAAUUUCUUCUAAAGCUAAAUACCGGCCAGAGACCGAUAGCGCACAAGUAGAGUGAUCGAAAGAUGAAAAGCACUUUGAAAAGAGGGUCAAACAGUACGUGAAAUUGUUGAAAGGGAAGCGCCCGUGGCCAGACUUGUGCCCCCGCGGACCACCCGGCGCCCUCAGCGCCGGUGCACUCCGCGGGGCGCAGGCCAGCAUCGGUUUUCCUAGGGGGAUAAAGGCGGCGGGAACGUGGCUCCUUCGGGAGUGUUAUAGCCCGUCGUGCCAUGCCCCUGGGGGGACCGAGGACCGCGCUUCGGCAAGGAUGCUGGCGUAAUGGCCACCGGCGACCCGUCUUGAAACACGGACCAAGGAGUCAAGCAUUGGGGCGAGUGUCUGGGUGCCAAACCCGCACGCGAAAUGAAAGUGAACGCAGGUGAGAGCUUCGGCGCAUCAUCGACCGAUCCUGAUGUUCUCGGAUGGAUUUGAGUAAGAGCCUUACCGCUUGGACCCGAAAGAUGGUGAACUAUGCCUGUAUAGGGUGAAGCCAGAGGAAACUCUGGUGGAGGCUCGCAGCGGUUCUGACGUGCAAAUCGAUUCGUCAAAUAUGGGCAUGGGGGCGAAAGACUAAUCGAACCAUCUAGUAGCUGGUUACCGCCGA